GAUGAACGCUGGCGGCGUGCCUAAUACAUGCAAGUCGAGCGAACGGACGAGAAGCUUGCUUCUCUGAUGUUAGCGGCGGACGGGUGAGUAACACGUGGAUAACCUACCUAUAAGACUGGGAUAACUUCGGGGAACCGGAGCUAAUACCGGCUAAUAUUUUGAACCGCAUGGUUCAAAAGUGAAAGACGGUCUUGCUGUCACUUAUAGAUGGAUCCGCGCUGCAUUAGCUAGUUGGUAAGGUAACGGCUUACCAAGGCAACGAUGCAUAGCCGACCUGAGAGGGUGAUCGGCCACACUGGAACUGAGACACGGUCCAGACUCCUACGGGAGGCAGCAGUAGGGAAUCUUCCGCAAUGGGCGAAAGCCUGACGGAGCAACGCCGCGUGAGUGAUGAAGGUCUUCGGAUCGUAAAACUCUGUUAUUAGGGAAGAACAUAUGUGUAAGUAACUGUGCACAUCUUGACGGUACCUAAUCAGAAAGCCACGGCUAACUACGUG
This 497-nucleotide ribosomal RNA is filed under the name uncultured bacterium. RNAcentral describes it as "partial 16S ribosomal RNA". It matches the Rfam family "Bacterial small subunit ribosomal RNA", at positions 28 to 507 of the family's 1533-position model. The record is from RNAcentral.